ACGGAAAGAAUUUUCCCAUAAAUGUUCCCCAUCCGCCUUCUGAACCGUUUGCCCCGCAUCCGGUUGGGGUGAGUCGAUCCCACAAACCAUACGGCACGAUAAGAGGGACUUAGCGGAAAAAAGUCAUUGAUUGCCACCUCUUGGAACAUAACGAUAGGGAGGUUGACCCUCCAACAAUGAGGAAAUACUGACAGUCUGACAAUGUGCUAAUGUGCGGGUGAAGCCCUCCACAGUAAGUUACUGUCCACAGCAUGGGAGACUCAUUGUCACGCAGGUUGUUAUUUAAUCAGUAUUGGGUUUACUGUAGGUGUGGACAGAUACUUUCAAAAUGCACAAAAUACCUAUCCAAACAUUGGCUUAACUUAUUGAAAGACGAGACAGGGUUCAUAUUUAAUAUUUAUCUAGCAGUUAAGCUUUAGUAAUCAAAACACACGGAUACAUGAAUCACUUUCUGCUCCUUGAAAUGUUACUUCCCGCAGUACUGCACACUGGAGAAUAAAACCUACAUGAAGAUUUAUGGUUCUGAGAUAAACUGACUACUGCAGUCUGAUAACAAUAGAUCUUCCGC
This is a long non-coding RNA of Paramormyrops kingsleyae, 568 nucleotides long. RefSeq lists it as uncharacterized. The record is from RefSeq and is a predicted model, not a curated record. NCBI's taxonomy places the organism in Eukaryota, Metazoa, Chordata, Actinopteri, Osteoglossiformes, Mormyridae.